GAAGAAAUUUGUUUGUUACUUCUGUCGACGCGGUGGCUAUUGGAAUGAAGCGGCGCGAGAUGCAUAAUUUUGAAUUUGAUCUUCUUCAAAGAUUGAUGAGUUUCAAAACGCACGAAUUUAACUCAUGAACAUUCAAAUAGCAUUCGUGUCAAAAGAAGAAGAAGAAAAAACAUAGAGCGGUGUGAAAUUGCCUGAAAUUGCCUAUUCUUCGCUUGGAUUAGAUUACUAAAAGAUGGGAUUUUGGAGGUAGAUUAUGUAUAAAGUUUGAACAUGUAUGGGCAUGAGUAACGACUCACGCUCAAUAUUCAAAAUUCGGAUUUGGCUCCUUGCAUUUUUUUAUGGUCAUGUUACCUUUGUAAUCACUUCUUAAGACUAUUCCUUCACUUCUUAAGAGUGAAUGGGUGAGUGUAACGACUCAUGCUCAAGAUUCAAAUGGAUUUGACACUAA
This is a long non-coding RNA of Cucurbita pepo subsp. pepo (vegetable marrow), 448 nucleotides long. RefSeq lists it as uncharacterized. The record is from RefSeq and is a predicted model, not a curated record. Lineage: Eukaryota; Viridiplantae; Streptophyta; Magnoliopsida; Cucurbitales; Cucurbitaceae.